GUGAAAGUAGCAGUUUUACCAAAUCACCAGAAGGUGUUUGAUGUUGGUUUGAGCAAGAUAAACCUGAUCACUUGGAGUGAGAUUUAACAGAAUUAAAUGAUGGUCAAAAUCAGUAGGAUUCACCAAGUUUGAGCUCAUUUGAGCAAAGUUAACAAUGUAUACAAUAAAAACCCUAGAAAUCGACAAAAUCAAACUCCUGUGAACCAAGGCUAUCAACUCAACACCCACAAAUGCACAACUUGGUGUGGCAUCCUUAUUUGGGGUAUGGAUCACUCCUGUAAAGUUUGGAAUCAAUUGGGUAAACUUGCCAGUGUAAAGUUGCUCAAAUUUGGUUCUGGACAGAAAGGGUUUUGGUAUUAAUAGGUGGAUCAAAUCAACUUGGAU
RNAcentral lists this long non-coding RNA (384 nucleotides) under Hordeum vulgare. Its description in RNAcentral is "long non-coding RNA (HVUL_LNC004760)". The record is from RNAcentral. Lineage: Eukaryota; Viridiplantae; Streptophyta; Magnoliopsida; Poales; Poaceae.